Molecule: ribosomal RNA, 326 nt
Filed under: uncultured eukaryote
Lineage: Eukaryota
Description: partial 18S ribosomal RNA
Rfam family: Eukaryotic small subunit ribosomal RNA
Source: RNAcentral
CCCUUAGAUGUUCUGGGCUGCACGCGCGCUACACUGAUGCGCUCAACGAGUUUUCGAACUUGCCCGGAAGGGUUGGUUAAUCUUUUUAAAACGCAUCGUGAUGGGGAUAGAUUAUUGCAAUUAUUAAUCUUCAACGAGGAAUUCCUAGUAAGCGCGAGUCAUCAGCUCGUGCUGAUUACGUCCCUGCCCUUUGUACACACCGCCCGUCGCUCCUACCGGUUGAGUGAUCCGGUGAAUAAUUCGGACUGCAGUCGUGUUCAGUUCCUGAACGUGGCAGCGGAAAGUUUAGUGAACCUUAUCACUUAGAGGAAGGAGAANUCGUAACA